This 501-nucleotide ribosomal RNA is filed under the name uncultured bacterium. Its description in RNAcentral is "partial 16S ribosomal RNA". It matches the Rfam family "Bacterial small subunit ribosomal RNA", at positions 30 to 523 of the family's 1533-position model. The record is from RNAcentral.
AUUGAACGCUGGCGGCAGGCUUAACACAUGCAAGUCGAGCGGGGGAAGGUAGCUUGCUACUGGACCUAGCGGCGGACGGGUGAGUAAUGCUUAGGAAUCUGCCUAUUAGUGGGGGACGACAUCUCGAAAGGGAAGCUAAUACCGCAUACGUCCUACGGGAGAAAGCAGGGGAUCUUCGGACCUUGCGCUAAUAGAUGAGCCUAAGUCGGAUUAGCUAGUUGGUGGGGUAAAGGCCUACCAAGGCGACGAUCUGUAGCGGGUCUGAGAGGAUGAUCCGCCACACUGGGACUGAGACACGGCCCAGACUCCUACGGGAGGCAGCAGUGGGGAAUAUUGGACAAUGGGGGGAACCCUGAUCCAGCCAUGCCGCGUGUGUGAAGAAGGCCUUAUGGUUGUAAAGCACUUUAAGCGAGGAGGAGGCUACUUUAGUUAAUACCUAGAGAUAGUGGACGUUACUCGCAGAAUAAGCACCGGCUAACUCUGUGCCAGCCGCCGCGGUAA